AGUGGCGGACGGGUGAGUAACGCUUGAGAAUCUGCCUUGGGGUCGGGGACAACCACUGGAAACGGUGGCUAAUACCGGAUAAGCCGAUUGGUGAAAGAUUUAUUGCCCGAAGAGGAGCUCGCGUCUGAUUAGCUAGUUGGUGAGGUAAGAGCUCACCAAGGCAGCGAUCAGUAGCUGGUCUGAGAGGACGAUCAGCCACACUGGGACUGAGACACGGCCCAGACUCCUACGGGAGGCAGCAGUGGGGAAUUUUCCGCAAUGGGCGAAAGCCUGACGGAGCAAGACCGCGUGAGGGAGGAAGGCUCUUGGGUUGUAAACCUCUUUUCUCAGGGAAGAAGCUCUGACGGUACCUGAGGAAUCAGCCUCGGCUAACUCCGUGCCAGCAGCCGCGGUAAUACGGAGGAGGCAAGCGUUAUCCGGAAUUAUUGGGCGUAAAGCGUCCGCAGGUGGCGAUUCAAGUCUGCUGUCAAAGCACGGGGCUUAACUCCGUAAAGGCAGUGGAAACUGAAUAGCUAGAGUGCCGUAGGGGUAGAGGGAAUUCCCGGUGUAGCGGUGAAAUGCGUAGAGAUCGGGAAGAACAUCGGUGGCGAAAGCGCUCUACUGGACGGCAACUGACACUCAGGGACGAAAGCUAGGGGAGCGAAUGGGAUUAGAUACCCC
Molecule: ribosomal RNA, 660 nt
Filed under: uncultured bacterium
Lineage: Bacteria
Description: bacterial SSU rRNA
Rfam family: Bacterial small subunit ribosomal RNA
Source: RNAcentral